CAGUAGCCGCGGGAAUACGAGGGGAGCUAGCGUUGUUCGGAAUUACUGGGCGUAAAGCGCGCGUAGGCGGCUUUUUAAGUCAGAGGUGAAAGCCCGGGGCUCAACCCCGGAAUUGCCUUUGAAACUGGAAAGCUAGAAUCUUGGAGAGGUCAGUUGAAUUCCGAGUGUAGAGGUGAAAUUCGUAGAUAUUCGGAAGAACACCAGUGGCGAAGGCGACUGACUGGACAAGUAUUGACGCUGAGGUGCGAAAGCGUGGGGAGCAAACAGGAUUAGAUACCCCAGUAGUCCCUGUCUCUUAUAC
Molecule: ribosomal RNA, 301 nt
Filed under: uncultured bacterium
Lineage: Bacteria
Description: partial 16S ribosomal RNA
Rfam family: Bacterial small subunit ribosomal RNA
Source: RNAcentral